GGAUAACUUACCCUUAGGACUGGGAUAACUCUGGGAAACUGGGGAUAAUACUGGAUAUUAGGCUAUGCCUGGAAUGGUUUGCCUUUGAAAUGUUUUUUUCGCCUAAGGAUAGGUCUGCGGCUGAUUAGGUCGUUGGUGGGGUAAUGGCCCACCAAGCCGAUGAUCGGUACGGGUUGUGAGAGCAAGGGCCCGGAGAUGGAACCUGAGACAAGGUUCCAGACCCUACGGGGUGCAGCAGGCGCGAAACCUCCGCAAUGUACGAAAGUGCGACGGGGGAUCCCAAGUGUUAUGCUUUUUUGUAUGACUUUUCAUUAGUGUAAAAAGCUUUUAGAAUAAGAGCUGGGCAAGACCGGUGCCAGCCGCCGCGGUAACACCGGCAGCUCGAGUGGUAGCUGUUUUUAUUGGGCCUAAAGCGUUCGUAGCCGGUUUGAUAAGUCUUUGGUGAAAGCUUGUAGCUUAACUAUAAGAAUUGCUGGAGAUACUAUUAGACUUGAAGUCGGGAGAGGUUAGAGGUACUACCGGGGUAGGGGUGAAAUCCUAUAAUCCUGGGAGGACCACCUGUGGCGAAGGCGUCUAACUGGAACGAUCUUGACGGUGAGUAACGAAAGCCAGGGGCGCGAACCGGAUUAGAUACCCGGGUAGUCCUGGCCGUAAACGAUGUGGACUUGGUGUUGGAA
Molecule: ribosomal RNA, 677 nt
Filed under: uncultured archaeon
Lineage: Archaea
Description: bacterial SSU rRNA
Rfam family: Archaeal small subunit ribosomal RNA
Source: RNAcentral